AAAUACAUGUAGUGUGGUCAAACUCCAUAAAAAAACUGCACUGCCCUCUACAGUUUAUUAACAGUACCUACAACUCUCGUGCUGAGUUGUAAUGUGUAACAACUUUUCAGUGAAACAAAAGUUUAUAGUAUUGAAGCCAUUCAAAUGGUCCAUUGUUGAGUUUCGCUGAGCUCUUCUGGUUUGAUAUACAAAUUAAAGAAAAGCAUCACAAAAGGUUCUCUUUUUUUUGUCUCCAUCCUGGUAUUUAAAAAAAUGCAUCAAAUAAUAAAAGAUACAGAAAUGAUCAUUCUGUCAGUAUAUGUAGUUAGGGAUUAGUACACCAAAAAGAAUAUCAACAUGUGGGUAAGUUGGCCGUUGCUAAGAUAAAUAAUACAACACAUCACAUAUAAUAGCAGAUAUAUAGCACAAUUAGCGCAAUACUGGGAAUAGCUAAGAUCCUGUGCAGGACUCUCAAACUCCCGAAAAAAUAACAAACACAUUAAAAUUAAAA
Hippocampus comes (tiger tail seahorse) is the source of this 490-nucleotide long non-coding RNA. RefSeq lists it as uncharacterized. NCBI's taxonomy places the organism in Eukaryota, Metazoa, Chordata, Actinopteri, Syngnathiformes, Syngnathidae. The transcript has 2 exons. The record is from RefSeq and is a predicted model, not a curated record.